CAGCAGCCGCGGGAAUACGUAGGGUGCAAGCGUUAAUCGGAAUUACUGGGCGUAAAGCGUGCGCAGGCGGUUUGUUAAGACAGAUGUGAAAUCCCCGGGCUCAACCUGGGAACUGCAUUUGUGACUGGCAAGCUAGAGUAUGGCAGAGGGAGGUGGAAUUCCGCGUGUAGCAGUGAAAUGCGUAGAUAUGCGGAGGAACACCGAUGGCGAAGGCAGCCCCCUGGGCCAAUACUGACGCUCAUGCACGAAAGCGUGGGGAGCAAACAGGAUUAGAUACCCCCGUAGUCCCUGUCUCUUAUAC
This 301-nucleotide ribosomal RNA is filed under the name uncultured bacterium. RNAcentral describes it as "partial 16S ribosomal RNA". It matches the Rfam family "Bacterial small subunit ribosomal RNA", at positions 509 to 807 of the family's 1533-position model. The record is from RNAcentral.